RNAcentral lists this ribosomal RNA (950 nucleotides) under Enterobacter cancerogenus. RNAcentral's name for it is "bacterial SSU rRNA". It matches the Rfam family "Bacterial small subunit ribosomal RNA", at positions 506 to 1469 of the family's 1533-position model. The record is from RNAcentral. Lineage: Bacteria; Pseudomonadati; Pseudomonadota; Gammaproteobacteria; Enterobacterales; Enterobacteriaceae.
UUCCAGCGCAGGCCGCGUAUACCGGAGGGUGCAGCGUAUCGAUAACUGGGCGUAAGCGCAGCAGCGUCUGUCAGUCGGAUGUGAAUCCCCGGGCUCACUGGGACCUGCAUUCGAAACUGGCAGGCUAGAGUCUGUAGAGGGGGGUAGAAUUCCAGGUGUAGCGGUGAAAUGCGUAGAGAUCUGGAGGAAUACCGGUGGCGAAGGGCGGCCCCUGGACAAAGACUGACGCUCAGGUGCGAAAGCGUGGGGAGCAAACAGGAUUAGAUACCGUGGUAGUCCACGCCGUAAACGAUGUCGACUUGGAGGUUGUGCCCUUGAGGCGUGGCUUCCGGAGCUAACGCGUUAAGUCGACCGCCUGGGGAGUACGGCCGCAAGGUUAAAACUCAAAUGAAUUGACGGGGGCCCGCACAAGCGGUGGAGCAUGUGGUUUAAUUCGAUGCAACGCGAAGAACCUUACCUACUCUUGACAUCCAGAGAACUUAGCAGAGAUGCUUUGGUGCCUUCGGGAACUCUGAGACAGGUGCUGCAUGGCUGUCGUCAGCUCGUGUUGUGAAAUGUUGGGUUAAGUCCCGCAACGAGCGCAACCCUUAUCCUUUGUUGCCAGCGGUUAGGCCGGGAACUCAAAGGAGACUGCCAGUGAUAAACUGGAGGAAGGUGGGGAUGACGUCAAGUCAUCAUGGCCCUUACGAGUAGGGCUACACACGUGCUACAAUGGCGCAUACAAAGAGAAGCGACCUCGCGAGAGCAAGCGGACCUCAUAAAGUGCGUCGUAGUCCGGAUUGGAGUCUGCAACUCGACUCCAUGAAGUCGGAAUCGCUAGUAAUCGUAGAUCAGAAUGCUACGGUGAAUACGUUCCCGGGCCUUGUACACACCGCCCGUCACACCAUGGGAGUGGGUUGCAAAAGAAGUAGGUAGCUUAACCUCGGGAGGGCGCUUACCACUUUGGAUUC